AACGAACGCUGGCGGCAUGCCUAACACAUGCAAGUCGAGGGGCAUCACAUGAAGUAGCAAUACGGAUGGUGGCGACCGGCGCACGGGUGAGUAACACGUAUGCAACCUGCCUUCAACAAGGGGAUAACCCGUUGAAAGACGGACUAAUACCCUAUAACACAGGGGUCCCGCAUGGGGAUAUUUGUUAAAGGACAACCGGUUGAAGAUGGGCAUGCGUUCCAUUAGCUAGUUGGCGGGGUAAGGGCCCACCAAGGCAACGAUGGAUAGGGGAACUGAGAGGUUUAUCCCCCACACUGGUACUGAGACACGGACCAGACUCCUACGGGAGGCAGCAGUGAGGAAUAUUGGUCAAUGGACGCAAGUCUGAACCAGCCACGUCGCGUGAAGGAAGACGGCCCUACGGGUUGUAAACUUCUUUUGCAAGGGAAUAAAGUGGGCCACGUGUGGCCUUUUGCAAGUACCUUGCGAAUAAGGAUCGGCUAACUCCGUGCCAGCAGCCGC
This 501-nucleotide ribosomal RNA is filed under the name uncultured bacterium. Its description in RNAcentral is "bacterial SSU rRNA". It matches the Rfam family "Bacterial small subunit ribosomal RNA", at positions 29 to 518 of the family's 1533-position model. The record is from RNAcentral.